This 432-nucleotide ribosomal RNA is filed under the name uncultured bacterium. RNAcentral describes it as "partial 16S ribosomal RNA". It matches the Rfam family "Bacterial small subunit ribosomal RNA", at positions 29 to 507 of the family's 1533-position model. The record is from RNAcentral.
ACGCACGCUGGCGGCCGGCUUCACCCCUGCCAGUCGCACGCACCUUUCGGGGUGAGUGGCCGACGGGUGAGUAACGCGUGGGAAUCUACCCUUCUCUACGGGAUAGCUCCGGGAAACUGGAAUUAAUACCGUAUACGUCCUGAGGGAGAAAGAUUUAUCGGGGAAGGAUGAGCCCGCGUUGGAUUAGCUAGUUGGUGGGGUAAAGGCCUACCAAGGCGACGAUCCAUAGCUGGUCUAAGAGGAUGAUCAGCCACAUUGGGACUGAGACACGGCCCAAACUCCUACGGGAGGCAGCAGUGGGGAAUAUUGGACAAUGGGCGCAAGCCUGAUCCAGCCAUGCCGCGUGAGUGAUGAAGGCCCUAGGGUUGUAAAGCUCUUUCAGUGGGGACGAUAAUGACGGUACCCACAGAAGAAGCCCCGGCUAACUUCGUG